GAUGAACGCUGGCGGCGUGCUUAACACAUGCAAGUCGAACGGAAAGGCCCAAGCUUGCUUGGGUCCUCGAGUGGCGAACGGGUGAGUAACACGUGGGUGAUCUGCCCUGCACUUCGGGAUAAGCCUGGGAAACUGGGUCUAAUACCGGAUAGGACGAUGGUUUGUAUGCCAUUUUGGAAAGUUUUUUCGUUGUGGGAUGAGCUCGCGGCCUAUCAGCUUGUUGGUGGGGUAAUGGCCUACCAAGGCGUCGACGGGUAGCCGGCCUGAGAGGGUGUACGGCCACAUUGGGACUGAGAGACGGCCCAGACUCCUACGGGAGGCAGCAGUGGGGAAUAUUGCACAAUGGGCGCAAGCCUGAUGCAGCGACGCCGCGUGGGGGAUGACGGCCUUCGGGGUGUAAACUCCUUUCGCUAGGGACGAAGCGUUUUUGUGACGGUACCUGGAGAAGAAGCACCGGCUAACUACGUG
RNAcentral lists this ribosomal RNA (468 nucleotides) under uncultured bacterium. RNAcentral describes it as "partial 16S ribosomal RNA". It matches the Rfam family "Bacterial small subunit ribosomal RNA", at positions 28 to 507 of the family's 1533-position model. The record is from RNAcentral.